UCUAAUAAAAUACAGACGGUUGAAAAUUCAAAAGAAGUUGAACGGCAGGCUGUCAAGUAUAUUCGGAGGUAAGUUGAUUAAAAACCGACCUCAUUUGAAUUUUCAACUGUCUGUAUUUUACCAGAGGUGCUUUAUGAUGUAUAUGUUGAGCUUUAUUUGUAUGUGCAUGGCGUAAUUAUAUAUAUAUUUUGUCUUGGUUGACGAGGGAUUCUCUCUUACUUUUAAAGCUGGCUACGCUAACUGGGAACGUAUAUUCGGAGGAAAGUUGAUGAAAACGCCAGUGCCAUAUAUUUAGAGAGUCACGACACUCCCAUAGGGAUUCAUUAUACGAUUUUACUUCCGGGUACUUCCGGGUUAUGGAGCCUUGGAUAGUUACAAACAUCGCAUUUGACAUGGCGGACACCAUUCAUUUGAACGGCAGGCUGUCAAGUAUAUUCGGAGAGGCCCUUUGUGACAUACACUUAUCUCUCAUGGCAUGAGGGAAGGUUGCAGUGCAAACUCAUAGCCUUUCUUUCCAGCUGCUCGACAUCCUUUAAGAGAGUGAAGACCUCAUCUGAUGGCCGGUGCUUCAACCAAUGCACACUGGCAUUGGUUGCAGAGUGUGAAGCUGAUGACCCUCUUCACUAUGCAUCCUGCCAGAUGUUGCCAUUUUGCCUGACAGCGUGGUCCCUGGCACAUCUGGGCCUAGUGUUGUGGCGCCACCGCUGGUUCCUGAUUGGUCGGCACCCGGCUCAUCCACCCCUGGAUCACCUGGCCUGGAUACAUCAUUGUCAUUGUGCUCACUUUCGCCCAACCUUCCCACCUCAAUUUCUCCCUGAAUGUCUGUAACAAUAACAAGGCAUUCUUAAUUUUAUAUGCAGUCAGUGUUUUUACAUUUGCACCUAUUGUCAUCUCCAAAGUAAGGGUACACUACACUCCUAAAGGGGAAAAAAAAAAUAACGGACAUUACUGUUACAUGAAUCAAAUCAUCUGCCACAAUCAGAAACUGCUAUGGCAUUGCCAUGAGUCAACAGUCUGGUGAUAUCAUGGAGUUGGUUGUGCUUUGCUGUUGUAUCCACCAGAAAUGUUUAGUUAUAGGUGAAAAUUAAAUGCAUAAAUAAAGCUAAAUUAUGAAGUAACUAACAAUGAAGUAGAUCGAAAUUUUAUGUGUAAAUCCCAGGACAAUUCCUGACCUCUUGUAUUUGAAGCUGAAUGUAUUAAUAUGAAAAAUUUAAUUAUCUUAUUAGGAGUGUAGUUUAUCCUUGAAUUACUUGGCAUGGGAAAUGUUGUUGACAGCUGGUCUGUAUCAUACCCAAGUUUAACCUGGUGCAAUAUGUAUGGUCCGUUUGAAUUUUGGUUGGAGGCACACUCCUAAAGGGAAGUUUCCUCCUCUUUGGCUUCGAACGAUGAAUGAAAAUGGUUGGGACGGCCUCAAUUUUAAUGUGUGCCCUACUUUGGUUGUCGUAAACUGGUCCUCCUCAAAGUGUUCCUGAUGUUUGGUUCGCAAGAUCAGUUUACAUUCUACUUAAAAUUUAAUUUUUUUUUUUUUAAAGUCAUAAUACCGUGACUUACAUGACAGAGUUUAUAGUUGUUGCUGGCCCCCUUCAAUUUCAGAUUUUUACGGCUGACCAUUGCCAGCCAUCUUUUCUGCCGGUCUUUGUCCUUCGGGAAACCAUACAUUCGGUAGCCCUUUUCGGACCGAUUGGUGCAUCCAAAAGCUGCACAACCAACCAUCACGAUCUCUAAAAUGUUAGGUGUGAGCACUGAAUCAUGACACCAAUUUUACCUAUUUAAUAAAAAAUAAAUAUUACUGUAAUAUUAAAUAUUUUCUUUAUCAAAGGGUAAUACGUUAUGUAAUAUAUUACCACAGGUAAGUGUAUCAAGAAAAUCUGGGCAUU
Corythoichthys intestinalis (scribbled pipefish) is the source of this 1877-nucleotide long non-coding RNA. RefSeq lists it as uncharacterized. NCBI's taxonomy places the organism in Eukaryota, Metazoa, Chordata, Actinopteri, Syngnathiformes, Syngnathidae. The transcript is spliced from 5 exons. The record is from RefSeq and is a predicted model, not a curated record.